UGAUUCUGCACUUGAGCUAAAGUCACACGGACAGAAAUCAGUCAGCAAGAGGAAAACCUUCCCUUCUGUUGGCCUGCGGGGGUUCAGAAGCUUUUAUUUUUUUCUCCCUCCUCUCCGCUAAGGAGGGCCAUGGCGGUGUGGCAGGCCGAGGGCUCGUCUCCCAUUUUGUCCUCUCCGCCGUCCUGUGACGCGACGCAGCACGGCCCGGCUCGGCGGAACUGUUGCGUCACAAAUGUCCGAAGAAGCAAAAACACUCAAGAUGUGGGGUGUGUGCCACUCACCCCGAUGAGCGCCAGCACAGACAGGAUGUAGUAGGAGGAGUCUCGAAACAAAGACCACCACGUCAGCUUCACC
Hippocampus comes (tiger tail seahorse) is the source of this 354-nucleotide long non-coding RNA. RefSeq lists it as uncharacterized. NCBI's taxonomy places the organism in Eukaryota, Metazoa, Chordata, Actinopteri, Syngnathiformes, Syngnathidae. The transcript has 3 exons. The record is from RefSeq and is a predicted model, not a curated record.